GUGCUCUGUUCGGCAGCAUGAAUAUUAAAAUUUGAAUCAUACAGAGAAGAUUUGGUAUGGCCCCCAUGUAAGAAUGACACGUAAGUUUAUGAAGUGUUCCGUUAUCUU
Molecule: small nuclear RNA, 108 nt
Organism: Psammomys obesus (fat sand rat)
Lineage: Eukaryota; Metazoa; Chordata; Mammalia; Rodentia; Muridae
Source: RefSeq, a predicted model, not a curated record